This 30-nucleotide non-coding RNA is filed under the name Rattus norvegicus (Norway rat). The record is from RNAcentral. Lineage: Eukaryota; Metazoa; Chordata; Mammalia; Rodentia; Muridae.
UUCUCUAGAAAGGAAGAUUGCAGGUCCUAC